RNAcentral lists this long non-coding RNA (713 nucleotides) under Salvator merianae (Argentine black and white tegu). RNAcentral's name for it is "lncRNA (ENSSMRG00000001944.1)". Lineage: Eukaryota; Metazoa; Chordata; Lepidosauria; Squamata; Teiidae. The record is from RNAcentral.
CAUCCUGCUGUGUCUCCCUCACGCCCCUCAACCAAGAUGGUUCAGUUUCCUGGGGGCAGUUGGUGGAGGGAGGGGCCACUGCUGGGAGCAAGAUGGCAGAGCAACCCAUCCUGCUGUGUCUCCUCCCCUCCCCUCCAGCAAGAUCAAACUGAGCCAACCCCUCUGAAGAGGGAAAGUCAAAGAGCUUUCUUUAAAUAUGUAUAGUACAUUGAUUAUGGGAACUGUACCACAGCACUGUAUUAAAAUACCUUGUAUAUUUCAGACCCGUUACCUGAGGAAAGUUUUGGUUGAGAUUACUGGGAUCUAUUCUUUGUGGCAGAUUCCAAACUUCAACCGAGCUUGGCAGAGUGUCGUUCUGGCGUUGGCAAUUUCAGCUCCACAUUCAGCAAGUCCUAAUCCGCUGGGAGCCUGCCUCGAAUCUUUCAAGACACUGUUGAAGUAAGUGGAGAAACUUUUGGUGUAAGAGAAACGUAGCAACAUCCUCACUGGUGACAAAUCUCUUGUCUAUUUCGGUGGUAAAAUGGGCUGUUUUGCUCCAGAGGAAGGGAGAGAUUACCAAUUCCAAAAGAUCUCCUCAUGGUAUAUAUUAAUAGCCUCUUCGGCUUUCAAAUAUCCCUUGCAGAAAACUCAUAUUUUGCUUGCCGUGGUAGUUAACUAGUUGCAAAGAGUUGUUAACGGGCAGGAACAGCUCAAAAACUCAUUCCCAGGCUCCU